GAAAUGCGAUAAGUAAUGUGAAUUGCAGAAUUCAGUGAAUCAUCGAAUCUUUGAACGCACAUUGCGCCCGCCAGUAUUUUGGCGGGCAUGCCUGUUCGAGCGUCAUUACAACCCUCAGGCCCCCGGGCCUGGCGUUGGGGAUCGGCGGAAGCCCCCUGCGGGCACAACGCCGUCCCCCAAAUACAGUGGCGGUCCCGCCGCAGCUUCCAUUGCGUAGUAGCUAACACCUCGCAACUGGAGAGCGGCGCGGCCACGCCGUAAAACACCCAACUUCUGAAUGUUGACCUCGAAUCAGGUAGGAAUACCCGCUGAACUUAAGC
RNAcentral lists this unclassified non-coding RNA (320 nucleotides) under plant metagenome. RNAcentral's name for it is "partial contains 5.8S ribosomal RNA, internal transcribed spacer 2, and large subunit ribosomal RNA". The stretch from base 1 to 105 matches the Rfam family "5.8S ribosomal RNA", at positions 50 to 154 of the family's 154-position model. The record is from RNAcentral.